GUCGAGCGAAUGAUGAAGAAGCUUGCUUCUUCUGAUUUAGCGGCGGACGGGUGAGUAACACGUGGGCAACCUACCUAGUAGAUUGGGAUAACUCCGGGAAACCGGGGCUAAUACCGAAUAAUCCAUUUUGUCACAUGGCAAAAUGCUGAAAGGCGGUUUCGGCUGUCACUACUAGAUGGGCCCGCGGUGCAUUAGCUAGUUGGUGGGGUAACGGCCUACCAAGGCAACGAUGCAUAGCCGACCUGAGAGGGUGAUCGGCCACAUUGGGACUGAGACACGGCCCAAACUCCUACGGGAGGCAGCAGUAGGGAAUCUUCCACAAUGGACGAAAGUCUGAUGGAGCAACGCCGCGUGAGUGAUGAAGGUUUUCGGAUCGUAAAACUCUGUUGUAAGGGAAGAACAAGUACGUUAGUAACUGAACGUACCUUGACGGUACCUUAUUAGAAAGCCACGGCUAACUACGUGCCAGCAGCCGCGGUAAUACGUAGGUGGCAAGCGUUGUCCGGAUUUAUUGGGCGUAAAGCGCGCGCAGGUGGUUUCUUAAGUCUGAUGUGAAAGCCCACGGCUCAACCGUGGAGGGUCAUUGGAAACUGGGAGACUUGAGUGCAGAAGAGGAAAGUGGAAUUCCAAGUGUAGCGGUGAAAUGCGUAGAGAUUUGGAGGAACACCAGUGGCGAAGGCGACUUUCUGGUCUGUAACUGACACUGAGGCGCGAAAGCGUGGGGGAGCAAACAGGAUUAGAUACCCCUGGUAGUCCACGCCCGUAAACGAUGAGUGCUAAGUGUUAGGGGGGUUUCCGCCCCCUUAGUGCUGCAGCUAACGCAUUAAGCACUCCGCCUGGGGAGUACGGGCCGCAAGGGUUGAAACUCAAAGGAAAUUUGACGGGGGGCCCCG
This 893-nucleotide ribosomal RNA is filed under the name Flavobacterium gyeonganense. RNAcentral's name for it is "bacterial SSU rRNA". It matches the Rfam family "Bacterial small subunit ribosomal RNA", at positions 61 to 925 of the family's 1533-position model. The record is from RNAcentral. Lineage: Bacteria; Pseudomonadati; Bacteroidota; Flavobacteriia; Flavobacteriales; Flavobacteriaceae.